Molecule: ribosomal RNA, 1483 nt
Filed under: uncultured prokaryote
Description: partial 16S ribosomal RNA
Rfam family: Bacterial small subunit ribosomal RNA
Source: RNAcentral
GCUUGCGGCGUGGAUAAGACAUGCAAGUCGAACGCAAAUCAUACUGUAGCAAUACAGUGUGGUUUGAGUGGCGCAAGGGUGCGUAACACGUGGGUAAUUUGCCGUGAAGUUGGGGAUAACUCGCUGAAAGGCGAGCUAAUACCGGAUGUGAAUGCUUGGAGGAAUCCUUGGUGGACUAAAGGUGGGGAUCUUCGGACCUGCCGCUUCAUGAUAAGCCCGCGGCCUAUCAGCUUGUUGGUGAGGUAAAAGCUCACCAAGGCUAAGACGGGUAACUGGUCUGAGAGGACGGUCGGUCACACUGGAACUGAGACACGGUCCAGACACCUACGGGUGGCAGCAGUCGAGAAUCAUUCACAAUGGGCGAAAGCCUGAUGGUGCGACGCCGCGUGGGGGAUGAAGUGCUUCGGUAUGUAAACCCCUGUCAUCUGCGAGCAAACCUUUUCGGUUAACACCUGGAAAGCUGAUAGUAGCAGAAGAGGAAGGGACGGCUAACUCUGUGCCAGCAGCCGCGGUAAUACAGAGGUCCCAAGCGUUGUUCGGAUUCACUGGGCGUAAAGGGUGCGUAGGCGGCAUGGCAAGUUUGGUGUGAAAGCUCCGAGCUCAACUCGGAAAUUGCACUGAAAACUGCCAAGCUCGAGGAUCGGAGGGGAGAGUGGAAUUCUUGGUGUAGCAGUGAAAUGCGUAGAUAUCAAGAGGAACACCGGUGGCGAAGGCGACUCUCUGGACGAUUCCUGACGCUGAGGCACGAAGGCUAGGGGAGCAAACAGGAUUAGAUACCCUGGUAGUCCACACCGUAAACGGUGUGCACUUGCUGUAGGAGGAUUCGACCCCUUCUGUGGCGGAGCUAACGUGUUAAGUGCACCGCCUGGGGAGUACGGUCGCAAGAUUAAAACUCAAAGAAAUUGACGGGGGCCUGCACAAGCGGUGGAGUAUGUGGCUUAAUUCGAUGCAACGCGAAGAACCUUACCUGGCCUUGACAUGUAUCUCUAAGGCUGUGAAAGCAGUCUCGCGCCCUUCGGGGCAAUUUACACAGGUGCUGCAUGGCUGUCGUCAGCUCGUGUCGUGAGAUGUUGGGUUAAGUCCCGCAACGAGCGCAACCCUUGUGUCCUGUUGCCACCCGAACGAGAGUUCGGAGCACUCUGGACAGACUGCCUCAUUUAAAUGAGGAGGAAGGUGGGGAUGACGUCAAGUCAGUAUGGCCCUUACGGCCAGGGCUGCACACGUACUACAAUGCCCGGCACAGAGGGAAGCAAGACCGCAAGGUGGAGCAAAUCUCAAAAAACCGGGCCCAGUUCGGAUUGUCGUCUGCAACUCGACGGCAUGAAGUUGGAAUCGCUAGUAAUGGCGCAUCAGCUACGGCGCCGUGAAUACGUUCCCAGGCCUUGUACACACCGCCCGUCACAUCAUGAAAGCCGUUUGUACCCGAAGUCCAUGUGCUAACCUUUAGGAGGCAGUGGCCGAAGGUAUGGGUGGUGAUUGGGAU